Molecule: long non-coding RNA, 292 nt
Organism: Numida meleagris (helmeted guineafowl)
Lineage: Eukaryota; Metazoa; Chordata; Aves; Galliformes; Numididae
Exons: 2
Source: RefSeq, a predicted model, not a curated record
GCCCCGCGGCGGCCUCGGCUGGAGCGGAGCUGUCCCCAGAGUCGGGCGCUGCCGGACCGCGGAGCUCCCCCGGCGCAGCCGCUGCCCCGCGCGGGACGAGGGUCUGUCCCUGGCCCGGCGCUGCUCCCGGAGUUCACAGAAACGGUACGGACAGAAAACGCUCAACAUGCAUAGAAGCAUCAGAAAACAGAGGGGAAAAAAAGAAACCAUGGCAUUCCCCACAAGAACUCCGUAGAUACCUUACAGCUUGGUUGCAAAAAAAAAAAAAACAAACACCGCACAGGAAAAGAAA